RNAcentral lists this ribosomal RNA (301 nucleotides) under uncultured bacterium. Its description in RNAcentral is "partial 16S ribosomal RNA". It matches the Rfam family "Bacterial small subunit ribosomal RNA", at positions 509 to 807 of the family's 1533-position model. The record is from RNAcentral.
CAGCCGCCGCGGUAAUACAGAGGGUGCAAGCGUUAAUCGGAAUUACUGGGCGUAAAGCGCGCGUAGGUGGUUUGUUAAGUUGGAUGUGAAAUCCCCGGGCUCAACCUGGGAACUGCAUCCAAAACUGGCAGGCUAGAGUAGGGCAGAGGGUGGUGGAAUUUCCUGUGUAGCGGUGAAAUGCGUAGAUAUAGGAAGGAACACCAGUGGCGAAGGCGACCACCUGGGCUCAUACUGACACUGAGGUGCGAAAGCGUGGGGAGCAAACAGGAUUAGAUACCCGGGUAGUCCCUGUCUCUUAUAC